UCCAGGUCCCUGUUGGAGUCAGUCAGAGCAUUUCCAUAGAGAGACACUUUGCAUCAGCAGCACCAUGCUCCAGUGCUCUGGGAGACCUUAUAGUCCUGAGAGUUGAACACUGGAUGACUGACAGCUGUCCUUCAUGACAACAGAAGCCACAGAAAUCCUCCUCAUCAAAAACAUGACUUUGAUCUGCGUCCUCAUCUGGACUCUCCUCUGCUGCUGCUUCACAGAGUCCAGAGGCCAGGUCACAGUGACUCAGUCUGGAGCAGUGAGCUCUGCUGCGGGAAGCUCCGUCUCCAUCACAUGUACGACCAGUUCCCAUGUUCAUGCUGGGAAGUGUUUAGCCUGGUACCAACAGAGAGAUGGAGGAACUCCUAAACUUCUUGUUUAUUAUGCUACCACUCGAGCAUCAGGGAUUUCAGAGCGUUUUACAGGCAGUGGAUCAAACUCUGACUUCACUCUGACCAUCAGUGGAGUCCAGACUGAUGAUGCAGCAGUUUACUACUGUCAGAGUUUCCAUUACCCCAACAGUCAGUAUGUGUUCACACAGUGAAAAAGCGUCGUACAA
Trematomus bernacchii (emerald rockcod) is the source of this 562-nucleotide non-coding RNA. Lineage: Eukaryota; Metazoa; Chordata; Actinopteri; Perciformes; Nototheniidae. The record is from the annotation of a RefSeq genome assembly.